CAGGAAGCUGCUAAACAUUCUUGAGCUGAAAGAAGACUGGGGGAAAGGAUCCUUCCCCUGCAAUGGCACAGUAGCAGGAGAGGCCCUUCACCAUCUACUGUAAACAGAAAGAAAUCAGAGGCUCUCACAUGCAGGGCUGUUGGCAGAUCACCAUGAACUUGUUUCAGCCAGAGCACACUUCGUCGUCAUGGUCAGUGAAAGCCUCCGAGCUUCAAAGGGUCCUGUCCUGGAAGCUGUCCUGGAAGGAUAUGACUCUCAUUCAGCCACUGGAACAAGAUUAGAUUAUUAAUAAAACAAGUUUAUUAUGGAAUUACUUAUCUCUCUUAAUAAACACAGGUUAUAAACA
This is a long non-coding RNA of Oenanthe melanoleuca, 346 nucleotides long. RefSeq lists it as uncharacterized. The transcript is spliced from 3 exons. Lineage: Eukaryota; Metazoa; Chordata; Aves; Passeriformes; Muscicapidae. The record is from RefSeq and is a predicted model, not a curated record.